GUUUUUGACAGCCGUAGAAAUACGGUCUUCUAAGCUUCGGUUUAGACAAUUUCACAGGUGCUGCAUGGCUGUCGUCAGCUCGUGUCGUGAGACGUUAGGUUAAGUCCUCUAACGAGCGCAACCCUUGCCGCCAGUUGCUACUGUCUUCGGACAGGCACUCUGGUGGGACUGCCUGGGAAACCAGGAGGAAGGUGGGGACGACGUCAAGUCAUCAUGGUCCUUAUGUCCAGGGCUACACACGUGUUACAAUGGCCAGUACAAAGGGUUGCAAUACCGUAAGGUGGAGCUAAUCCCAUAAAGCUGGUCUAAGUUCGGAUUGAGGUCUGCAACUCGACCUCAUGAAGUUGAAAUCGCUAGUAAUCGCGUAUCAGCAACGACGCGGUGAAUACGUUCUCGGACCUUGUACACACCGCCCGUCACACCAUGAAAGCUGUUUGUACCCGAUGCUGUUUUAGCUAACCUGUAAAGGAGGCGAGCAAUUAAGGUAUGGAUGGUGAUUGGGGUGAAGUCGUAACAAGGUAGGCGUAGCGAG
This 532-nucleotide ribosomal RNA is filed under the name uncultured bacterium. Its description in RNAcentral is "bacterial SSU rRNA". It matches the Rfam family "Bacterial small subunit ribosomal RNA", at positions 988 to 1509 of the family's 1533-position model. The record is from RNAcentral.